This 361-nucleotide ribosomal RNA is filed under the name uncultured bacterium. RNAcentral's name for it is "partial 16S ribosomal RNA". It matches the Rfam family "Bacterial small subunit ribosomal RNA", at positions 338 to 696 of the family's 1533-position model. The record is from RNAcentral.
CCUACGGGUGGCAGCAGUGAGGAAUAUUGGUCAAUGGACGCAAGCCUGAACCAGCCAUGCCGCGUGCAGGAAGACGGUUCUAUGAGUUGUAAACCCCUUUUGUACGAGGGAAAACGCGGAUACGUGUAUCUGUCUGAAAGUAUCUUACGAAUAAGGAUCGGCUAACUCCGUGCCAGCAGCCGCGGUACUACGGUGGAUUAAAGCGUUACCCGGUUUUAGUGGGGUUAAAGGGUGCGUAGGCGGGCGGUUAAGUUACAGGUGAAAUCCCGGGGCGCAACUUCGGCAGUGCCGUUGAUACUGUGCGGCUAGAGAGUAGUAGAGGUAGGCGGAAUGUAUGGUGUAGCGGUGAAAUGCUUAGAGA